Molecule: ribosomal RNA, 401 nt
Filed under: uncultured bacterium
Lineage: Bacteria
Description: bacterial SSU rRNA
Rfam family: Bacterial small subunit ribosomal RNA
Source: RNAcentral
GACGAACGCUGGCGGCGUGCCUAACACAUGCAAGUCCACGAGAAAGCGGUAGCAAUACUGCCGGUAAAGUGGCGAACGGGUGAGUAACACGUAGGUAACUUGCCCUUGGGACUGGAAUAACCUCGAGAAAUCGGGGCUAAUACCGGAUAAUGCAGCGGACCCGCAUGGGUAUGUUGUUAAAGUGGUCUUGGCUUGCCAAGUUCACACCUAAGGAUGGACCUGCGUCCCAUUAGCUAGUUGGNGAGGUAACGGCUCACCAAGGCGACGAUGGGUAGCCGGCCUGAGAGGGUGUCCGGCCACACUGGGACUGAGAUACGGCCCAGACUCCUACGGGAGGCAGCAGUGAGGAAUAUUGACAAUGGGGCAACCCUGAUCCAGCGACGCCGCGUGGGUGAAGAAGG